CCAUUUCUAUUCCACUAAUACUAUUCUUCUUCUUCUUUUAACCUCUUUUAAGCACAUCUUCACCUAAAAAUUAUAAUUUUUAUACUCUAUAUGCAUUCUUUUGAUCUAAAACAACUAGUGAGUGAAUUUGAUGAUUCACACCCUUCUUUUUGCUAGACUUAAGAUGAAAAGGUGGAAGAUAUAUAUUCACUAUUUUCACACUCUUGUUGCUACUUAGUAUUCCCAAAAUCAAUGGAAUAUUGACUUUUUUCUUUCUA
RNAcentral lists this long non-coding RNA (257 nucleotides) under Physcomitrium patens. Its description in RNAcentral is "long non-coding RNA (PPAT_LNC003070)". The record is from RNAcentral. Lineage: Eukaryota; Viridiplantae; Streptophyta; Bryopsida; Funariales; Funariaceae.